Molecule: ribosomal RNA, 386 nt
Filed under: uncultured bacterium
Lineage: Bacteria
Description: bacterial SSU rRNA
Rfam family: Bacterial small subunit ribosomal RNA
Source: RNAcentral
AAUCAACGCUGGCGGCGUGCCUAACACAUGCAAGUCGCACGAGAAAGGGACUUCGGUCCUGAGUACAGUAGGCGCACGGGUGAGUAACACGUGACUUAUCUACCCUCGAGUGGGGAAUAACCUAGAGAAAUCUGGGCUAAUACCGCAUAACACUUACGAGUCAAAGCAGCAAUGCGCUUGAGGAGGAGGUCGCGGCCGAUUAGCUAGUUGGCGGGGUAAUGGCCCACCAAGGCGAUGAUCGGUAUCCGGCCUGAGAGGGCGCACGGGACACACUGGAACUGAAACACGGGUCCAGACUCCUACGGGAGGCAGCAGUGGGGAAUUUUGCGCAAUGGGCGAAAGCCUGACGCAGCGACGCCGCGUGAGGGAUGAAGGCCUCGGUGUAA